Solanum dulcamara is the source of this 1362-nucleotide RNA transcript. RefSeq lists it as uncharacterized. NCBI's taxonomy places the organism in Eukaryota, Viridiplantae, Streptophyta, Magnoliopsida, Solanales, Solanaceae. The record is from RefSeq and is a predicted model, not a curated record. The transcript is spliced from 12 exons.
CCUAAAACCCAACCAAACAAAGUGUUAGGGCUUAGAAGUUAGAAGGGUGAGUGACGGACGUCUCAAAGCUCGGGAGUGGUCAGUGCGAAGAUGAUGAUUAGACGAAUUCGCUCUCAGAUUUUGGUCACUGCUCACCGACUCUCAGGACUCAGAAGCUCACAAUUUCAUUCUCAGAACUCCGCUCAGCCGCUCACAAGGGCGAUUUAUGGAAAUUAUAUGCAAGCAGAAUGCAAUCUUCAGAGAAAUGUAUGCCAGUGUCGAAAAUGCUCUAUGAUGCUCAGGGCAUCAUUUUCUACGGAAGCAGGGACAAUUGAAAGUAGUGCGACAGCAGAAUCUGUGAAGGAGUUGUAUGACAAAAUGCUGAAGUCUGUCAUGGAUCAAAGAAGUGCUCCGCCCAAUGCCUGGUUGUGGUCCCUAAUAGAAAGUUGUGCAAACCAUGAAGAUGCUAAACUUUUAUUCGACAUAUUGCAGAGACUUCGAAUAUUUAGACUUUCUAAUCUCCGUAUCCAUGAAAACUUCAAUUGUGCUCUCUGCCAGGAAAUUACUAAGGCAUGUGUACGUGUUGGCGCCAUUGAUUUGGGUAAGAAGGUGUUGUGGAAGCAUAGUGUAUAUGGACUGACUCCUAACAUUGGAUCUGCGCACCAUUUACUGUUAUUUGCUAAACAACAUAAUGAUGUUAAACUCUUGGUAGAAAUUAUGAAUCUGGUGAAGAAAAAUGACUUGAUCCUGCAACCUGGAACUUCAAAUAUAGUCUUCAGCAUUUGCUCCCAAACUGAUAACUGGGACUUGAUAUGUAAGUAUGGUAAAAGGUUUGUCAAGGCAGGAGUGAAGCUACGAAAGACUUCCUUGGACACUUGGAUGGAAUUUGCCUCAAAAAUAGGAGAUGUUGAUGCUCUGUGGAAAAUUGAGAAGAUACGAUCAGAAACCAUGAAGGAACAUACUCUUGGAAGUGGACUUUCACGUGCUAAGGGUUUCCUAAUUGACCACAAACCUGCAGAUGCUGUUGCUGUCAUUCAAUUACUCAAUCAGGAUUGCUUUAAGAGGGAAGAACAAUACUAGUGGUCGCCUUUAUACAAGGCACUGAAAGCAGCCCUUGAUAAUAGCGAUUACUUGUUCAAACUGUUGUUAAUCGGCGAUUCUUCUAUUUCAGUUUGAUAACACUACUGAAACACAUCACUGAAGGCUUUUUCAUUAGCUACAAUUUUUAUUCGUGUCUAAUUCUCUUCUAAUUCAACUUUAGUGCGUAUGUAAUUCAUUUUUGUGUUUAUAUAGAUCACUGAAUGCUUUUUCAUUAGCUACACUUUUCAUUCGUGUCUAAUUUUAUUCUAAUUCAACUUUAAUAUGUAUGCAAUUUAUUUUUCA